Molecule: long non-coding RNA, 6278 nt
Filed under: Gossypium raimondii (Peruvian cotton)
Lineage: Eukaryota; Viridiplantae; Streptophyta; Magnoliopsida; Malvales; Malvaceae
Description: long non-coding RNA (GRAI_LNC008763)
Source: RNAcentral
GUUGCAAUGCCACUUUCAUUUCAAACAACUCCCCAUUUUCUCUUUUCUCCACAUCACAUUCAUCCAACGUUGAUUCUAUCGAUUCUUGCAUAAGCUUAAAGAACCCAGCGUUGUUCCUGUACAUCUCGAACACCAUACCAACUUGGCCACCGUGCUCGAAGGUGUUCACAGCUGAAGCUAAAGCUCCUGCAACAGCCGCCACUGUGGCCGCCCAAGGGCUGUUGGAAGAAACCAUGAAAGCCGAUCCUAGAGCUGCUAUUCCAGUUAGCAAUGGCCCUGAUGUAGCUAAAACUUUGUUCAUGUUCAAAGCCUUGUUGCCUAAUCUCUCGUAAUCUUCACUGUCUUUUCUCUUUAUUACUUCAACCACUUCUCUCAUUUCCAUUUCCAAUUCCCUGGUCCACCCAUUGUUGUUCGUCAAUGCUUUGUUUGAGUUUGGAGACUGUUUUGUAGGCCACCAAACAGCAGGCUCUAAACUUGCAGGGAAUUUUUCAAGCAUAACACCAAGCAAAGGAAGAGGGUAAGCUUUGUCAAGUGCCAACACUUUCUCCAUAGCAUCAUUCACGUCAUCUUGGCAUGGAGAACCAACAGCAAGUAGGGUUUUGAUUUGGGAUUGCAGCUGCUUAAACAAUCUCGUGGCAUUACGUUGCUCUUCCACAAGCUGUGAGGGUUGAAUCUUAUUCAUCAAUACCAACAUCCCAGUGGCUGCUGAGAACAUCACACUGGAUGCCAACUUCAAACCCAUAGCAGAAACCCCAGCGCCAACGCCAGUUGCGGCGGCGACACCUGCCAUGGUUGCGGCGGUGAGGGUAAUCAUAUUGAUGGAGUUGAGUAGAAGGGUGUUCCAGUUAUCUCGUUGUUCCCCAAUGUUGUUAUGCAUCUCCACUCUGUCAGCUAUGGCCUCUAAGAUGGCAUACAGUUGAAAGGUAGCCAUUGAAACAGAUGAGGUUUGUUGAACCAAUGGUGUGCUAUGGACAUUGUUUUGGAUUGGGAUUGUGUUGAUGAACCCGUCUUUACUAUUCAAUUGCUCGGACUGUGUUUUGGGUUGUCGUAAUUUAGGGGCUGAAAAUCUUACCGAUGGGAGCUUUGGGAUGGAUAUAGCAGCACGGAUUUGGUUUGAAGCNNNNNNNNNNNNNNNNNNNNNNNNNNNNNNNNNNNNNNNNNNNNNNNNNNNNNNNNNNNNNNNNNNNNNNNNNNNNNNNNNNNNNNNNNNNNNNNNNNNNUGAGAGGAGAAAAUUAUUAGAAGCAUGUAAAGAAGCCAUAUGUAUAUAUAUAUAUAUAUAUAUAUGUAUGUAUGUAUAUAUAUGAAAAAAAGAGAGGAAAUAUAGAAAUUUGGUGGGUUGAUUGGAGGCUUUGAGCAAAGGAAAUUAAAGAAGAGAUUUAGAGAUGAAAGGUGAAAUGGGGGCGUAUUUAUAGCAAGCAAUGAGGGAUAGCUGAUUUGGUCUGCUAAUUUGACUGUCUGAUUGAAUUGACCAAUCUUUGUUACAUUAGCUGACCUAUUAAAAGGUUGUCUCGUUCAAUGUUAUAUCAAAAAUAAAAGGAAAAACUAACAUCCAGUCCUUAAAUUCAACAAUUUUUUUAAUUUUAGUCCUUUAGUCUAUAUUAAUCUCAUAAUUUACCAACUUUUUCCGUUUUGAUUCAUGUGAUAAUAUGACAUCCUAAUUGCAACAUCAUCACCUAAAAAUUAUAUUUUUAUAAAAGAAUUUUGAUGAUGGCGUGGUACAAUCUUAGAGUUUAGAGACCAAAUUGAGAAAAAUUAAAAAAUUUAAGAACUAAAUAUUGCCUUAUCUCAAAAUAAAAAUAAAAAAGGGCUCAAUAUAACAUCAGAUACCUAAACUUGACACUUUUUCUUAAUUUGGUACAUGAACUUGGCUUUUUUUUCCCUAAUUUGGUACCUAAACUUAUUAAAUGUUAUAAAAAUUAUGCAAAACACUAACGGUGUUAAAAUUUUUUUGUUAUGCUACCAAAAUAUUAUAAGUAUUAGAGGAAAUUCAUGUUAAAAAAUUUCGGUUUUAAGCUAUGCUUAACAAAUUAAUAUUAAAUAAGAAGAAAAGAGCUUUAAAAACCCAAAUUAAAAGAAAUUCAUUAUUUUCAAUUAGUAAAAUAAUUAAAUAAAUAAANNNNNNNNNNNNNNNNNNNNNNNNNNNNNNNNNNNNNNNNNNNNNNNNNNNNNNNNNNNNNNNNNNNNNNNNNNNNNNNNNNNNNNNNNNNNNNNNNNNNNNNNNNNNNNNNNNNNNNNNNNNNNNNNNNNNNNNNNNNNNNNNNNNNNNNNNNNNNNNNNNNNNNNNNNNNNAUAUGAAUUUCCUUUGUAGACAAAUCCUAAAAUAAUAAUUUAUUGAAUUAGUAAAAUUUAUAUGAUGAUGUAAUGUUGAAUAUAUGAAAUUCCUUUGUAGAAAACCCUAAAAUUAAUUAAAUUAAUUCACUAAUGAACACAACAAAGAACAAAGCAAGAAAAUAAACGAUUAACAACUAAGAAGCGAAACAAUGUCCAAGAAAGAAUUUACCUAGACUUCAUUUGUCACUAUCAAUCUAAAUUACGUAAUUCUUUUACUUAGUAUUUUGAUCCGUAGAAAUCUCUAAAUUAUGCUAAUAUCUGUUUCGAGAGGAAGAGCAAUUGACUCUAGGUUGAUUAAUUGAAAUUUAUUUCUAAUUAACACCCCUAUUAUCGCAUUAACUUAUGCUAUGGAUUUUCCUAAUAGAUUUGACUCUAACCUAAUCUAGUAGAUUUAUUUCGUCCUAUUUCUAAGAUUGCAUGCAAGUCCACUCAAUUACGCAUGAUCUACUCUUAAACAGGGUUUAUUCCUUCUCUGAUUUAAGCACAUCAAACAUGGAUCAAUAGUCUAUAAAUAAUAAACCAAGAAUUAAGCACACAUAAUUGAGAACAAGAAACUAAAUAUUUAUUGCAUGAAAUAAAAAUUAAAAAACAGAAUUCAUCAUAGGAUUCAUCUCGUUAGGUAUUUAGAAAAUUAGUUCAUACUUGAAAAUAAAAACAUCUAGAGACAACAGUAUAAUCACAAGAAACAAAGAAACUCAUGAUGGCUUCCUAAGAAAUCAAAUGCGAAUCUUCAAUAUUGAUGGAAAUAUGCUUCAGAAUCGGCUUCAAUGGUGUUUUUCAAGUUGUUUUCUUAAAUAUUCUAGGAUGACUCUCUCCUAUCUUCUUAUUUUUCGUCACAUAUACAUAUUAGAAUGUUCGAAAAACCUAAAAAUCAUGCUUUUUCGUUGUUCAUAGUGCAAAUUCGCACAAUCGACACAACCUGCCACAUGGUUUUUAAAAAAUAUUGUUAGUAUUAGACGAAAUUCAUGCAAAAUUUUUUGAUAUUGAGCUAUGCUUAACAUUUUGAUAUUAAAUAAGAAAAAAAGAGCUUUAAAAACCCAAAUUAAAAGAAAUUCAUUAUUUUUAAUUAAUAAAAUAAUUAAAUAAAUAAAACUAAAAGUAAUUAAACAUAUACAAUACAAAAAAAAAAGAUCAUGUCAUCUAUACAAAUAACAUUGUUAGUAUAUUUGAAUAAUUUGUGAAAACGUUUGACAAGUUGAAACACAAAAAAAAAAGUUUAAAUAUAUGAAUUUCCUUUGUAGACAAAACGUAAAAUACUAAUUUAUUGAAUUAGUAAAAUUUAUUUGAUGAUGUAGUGUUGAAUAUAUGAAUUUCCUCUGUAGACAAAGCCUAAAAUACUAAUUUAAAUUUUCGUUUUUUUAGUGUUAGAUUUUAUAAAAGAAUGUUGACUUUUUUUGUCACCUUUGCUCGAUUUGAAUAUAGUAUCUCAAAAUCCUGAGAAAUUCAACUUGUAAUAUUGAGGUUGAAGCUAUUAAUUUCCUUUUUACUUAUUCAGAAAAGAUAAAAACCAAAAUAAUAAUUUAUAUAUUUUUUGGGUUUAAUGCAUAAUUUGGUACCUGAGUUUGAUAUUGUUUAGUAUUUAAUUCGAGUUUUAGAGUUAAUUUGAUGAAAAUUCAUAUUUAGAUAAUUAGUUUUCACUCAAUCAACCCUAAAAUCAGAAUUAAAUCACAUCCAUAAAUGAAAAAUUAAAAAAAUUCACAAUUGACACUGAUUUAAUUCUAUAAACAAAAUCACGAAAAAUUCAAACUUAAUAAUAUUAGAAAUUAACUUUCAUAAAAUCAACUCUAAAAUCCGAAUUAAACACUAAAGUUUCAUAUCUCUUAGUAUAAUUUAGAAAAAUCAUAUGCACUCUUAAUUUUUCAAACAAUCUUUUUCAUAUAAAACAUGUUUUGACUUUUUGGGUUUUUUUUUUAAACAUAGUUGAAAGCAAAAAUUCUUAUAUUUAUAAAUUGUUUAUUCAUUAAGAAAUAUUCUGAGUCUCAACUUGUUUAAUAAAAUAUAUUCAAUUUGGUGUUUUAAAAAUAGAUUUAUUGUCACUUAAGUUUUCCACCUUUGGAUUGGUGGCUCGGUCUUAAUUCUAAUUAAAUAAUAAAAUUAUAUAAAUAUUAAUAUAAAAAUAUCCAAAAAAUGUGAAAAAACUUAUCUGUAAGUCAUUUUCUGUAAAAUAAGAAUCGUCAGUAAUGUUGUUACGAAAGAGCCAAGACAAAAUGACGGUUGGUCCCUAAAGACCGGAGGCGGUUGUCUGGUUUGAAGGUUUUAUUACUCGUUUUUGGCGUUGAAUGUCAAUUGCUAAGACUCAGCACAACAGUUGGGUGACAUCCCAAUACCAUCAAACAUGAGUCGUCUAAUUUGUACGCCAACACACCAAUGUUGUUCAAUUGUAGUUCAUGUUUCAAAGAUUUACACCUUUUCCUUGCCUCUCAAACCCAAUUCAGUGUGAAGGUACACUCUUUCAAAUUCAAAUUCUAUAAUGGCAUCUAACAUCGUUUUAAAUGGUCAAUGAAAAAGAGAGAAGGCGGGGGUGAUGAAAUCUAAAUAAUUGAAAUUUAAAAUGAGAAAAAUAAAAACCAUAAACAUAGAAUCAAUUCCAAAGGAUAUGGUAAAUGAGAUACGUUGAUUUGUAUGCAUGAACCAUGAAAUUUCUAUUUCUGUUCAUGAUUCAACCUGUCUUGUGUACAUCAUCAUCUUCCAAAAUUGUACAAACAUAUGUAUAUCAUUGGUUAAUUGAAUGAAUGAAAGAAUCUAUACGUCAAAGAAUAUUGGAUCAAAACAGCUUGCUUGCAAAUUCAUCCAUGGGGCUUCCUUCUAUACGAGAAUAGCUUGAUUUUUUGGCUACAUCUCUCAGUUCUGAUAAGCUUCUUCCCAGUUGCAAUGCCACUUUCAUUUCAAACAACUCCCCAUUUUCUCUUUUCUCUACAUCACAUUCAUCCAACGUUGAUUCUAUCGAUUCUUGCAUAAGCUUAAAGAACCCAGCGUUGUUCCUGUACAUCUCGAACACCAUACCAACUUGGCCACCGUGCUCGAAGGUGUUCACAGCUGAAGCUAAAGCUCCUGCAACAGCCGCUACAGUUGCCGCCCAAGGGCUGUUGGAAGAAACCAUGAAAGCCGAUCCUAGAGCUGCUAUUCCAGUUAGCAAUGGCCCUGAUGUAGCUAAAACUUUGUUCAUGAUCAAAGCCUUGUUGCCUAAUCUCUCGUAAUCUUCACUGUCUUUUCUCUUUAUUACUUCAACCACUUCUCUCAUUUCCAUUUCCAAUUCCCUGGUCCACCCAUUGUUGUUCGUCAAUGCUUUGUUUGAGUUUGGAGACUGUUUUGUAGGCCACCAAACAGCAGGCUCUAAACUUGCAGGGAAUUUUUCAAGCAUAACACCAAGCAAAGGAAGAGGGUAAGCUUUGUCAAGUGCCAACACUUUCUCCAUAGCAUCAUUCACGUCAUCUUGGCAUGGAGAACCAACAGCAAGUAGGGCUUUGAUUUGGGAUUGCAGCUGCUUAAACAAUCUCGUGGCAUUACGUUGCUCUUCCACAAGCUGUGAGGGUUGAAUCUUAUUCAUCAAUACCAACAUCCCAGUGGCUGCUGAGAACAUCACACUGGAUGCCAAAUUCAAACCCAUAACAGAAACCCCGGCGCCAACGCCAGUUGCGGCGGCAACACCUGCCAUGGUUGCGGCGGUGAGGGUAAUCAUAUUGAUGGAGUUGAGUAGAAGGGUGUUCCAGUUUUCUCGUUGUUCCCCAAUGUUGUUAUGCAUCUCCACUCUGUCAGCUAUGGCCUCUAAGAUGGCAUACAGUUGAAAGGUAGCCAUUGAAACAGAUGAGGUUUGUUGAACCAAUGGUGUGCUAUGGACAUUGUUUUGGAUUGGGAUUGUGUUGAUGAACCCGUCUUUACUAUUCAAUUCAUCGGACUGUGUUUUGGUUUGUCGUAAUUUAGGGGCUGAAAAUCUUACCGAUGGGAG